This 253-nucleotide ribosomal RNA is filed under the name uncultured bacterium. RNAcentral describes it as "partial 16S ribosomal RNA". It matches the Rfam family "Bacterial small subunit ribosomal RNA", at positions 524 to 776 of the family's 1533-position model. The record is from RNAcentral.
UACGUAGGGGGCUAGCGUUGUCCGGAUUUAUUGGGCGUAAAGAGCGUGUAGGCGGCCAGGUAGGUCCGUUGUGAAAACUCGAGGCUCAACCUCGAGACGUCGAUGGAAACCAUCUGGCUAGAGUCCGGAAGAGGAGAGUGGAAUUCCUGGUGUAGCGGUGAAAUGCGCAGAUAUCAGGAAGAACACCUAUGGCGAAGGCAGCUCUCUGGGACGGUACUGACGCUGAGACGCGAAAGCGUGGGGAGCGAACAGG